CGUGGCGGGGUGCUAUACAUGCAAGUCGAGCGCGGGAAGCAGACUGAAUCCUUCGGGAGGACGUCUGUGGAACGAGCGGCGGACGGGUGAGUAACACGUGGGCAACCUGCCUGUAAGACUGGGAUAACUCCGGGAAACCGGGGCUAAUACCGGAUAACUCAUCGGAUCGCAUGAUCCGAUGUUGAAAGAUGGCUUCUCGCUAUCACUUACAGAUGGGCCCGCGGCGCAUUAGCUAGUUGGUGAGGUAACGGCUCACCAAGGCCACGAUGCGUAGCCGACCUGAGAGGGUGAUCGGCCACACUGGGACUGAGACACGGCCCAGACUCCUACGGGAGGCAGCAGUAGGGAAUCAUCCGCAAUGGACGAAAGUCUGACGGUGCAACGCCGCGUGAGUGAGGAAGGCCUUCGGGUCGUAAAACUCUGUUGUUAGGGAAGAACAAGUUCCGUUCGAAUAGGGCGGAGCCUUGACGGUACCUAACCAGAAAGCCACGGCUAACUACGUGCCAGCAGCCGCGGUAAUACGUAGGUGGCAAGCGUUGUCCGGAAUUAUUGGGCGUAAAGCGCGCGCAGGCGGUUCCUUAAGUCUGAUGUGAAAGCCCACGGCUCAACCGUGGAGGGUCAUUGGAAACUGGGGAACUUGAAGACAGAAGAGGAGAGCGGAAUUCCACGUGUAGCGGUGAAAUGCGUAGAGAUGUGGAGGAACACCAGUGGCGAAGGCGGCUCUCUGGUCUGUGCUUGACGCUGAGGCGCGAAAGCGUGGGGAGCGAACAGGAUUAGAUACCCUGGUAGUCCACGCCGUAAACGAUGAGUGCUAGGUGUUAGGGGUUUCCACCCUUAGUGCUGCAGUUAACGCAAUAAGCACUCCGCCUGGGGAGUACGGCCGCAAGGCUGAAACUCAAA
RNAcentral lists this ribosomal RNA (900 nucleotides) under Piscibacillus sp. JSM 102012. RNAcentral describes it as "bacterial SSU rRNA". It matches the Rfam family "Bacterial small subunit ribosomal RNA", at positions 34 to 905 of the family's 1533-position model. The record is from RNAcentral. Lineage: Bacteria; Bacillati; Bacillota; Bacilli; Caryophanales; Bacillaceae.